RNAcentral lists this ribosomal RNA (380 nucleotides) under uncultured bacterium. RNAcentral's name for it is "bacterial SSU rRNA". It matches the Rfam family "Bacterial small subunit ribosomal RNA", at positions 28 to 409 of the family's 1533-position model. The record is from RNAcentral.
GACGAACGCUGGCGGCGUGCUUAACACAUGCAAGUCGAGCGGUAAGGCCCUUUCGGGGGUACACGAGCGGCGAACGGGUGAGUAACACGUGGGUGACCUGCCCUCAGCUCUGGGAUAAGCCCGGGAAACUGGGUCUAAUACCGGAUAUGACUUCAUGACGCAUGUUGUGGAGUGGAAAGCCUUGUGCGGCUGAGGAUGGGCCCGCGGCCUAUCAGCUUGUUGGUGGGGNGAUGGCCUACCAAGGCGACGACGGGUAGCCGGCCUGAGAGGGCGACCGGCCACACUGGGACUGAGAUACGGCCCAGACUCCUACGGGAGGCAGCAGUGGGGAAUCUUGCGCAAUGGGCGAAAGCCUGACGCAGCGACGCCGCGUGAGGGAU